GACGAACGCUGGCGGCGUGCUUAACACAUGCAAGUCGAGCGGUAAGGCCCUUUCGGGGGUACGACGAGCGGCGAACGGGUGAGUAACACGUGGGUGACCUGCCCUCCAGCUCUGGGAUAAGCCUGGGAAACUGGGUCUAAUACCGGAUAUGACUCCAUGACGCAUGUUGUGGGGUGGAAAGCCUUGUGCGGCUGAGGAUGGGCCCGCGGCCUAUCAGCUUGUUGGUGGGGUGAUGGCCUACCAAGGCGACGACGGGUAGCCGGCCUGAGAGGGCGACCGGCCACACUGGGACUGAGACACGGCCCAGACUCCUACGGGAGGCAGCAGUGGGGAAUCUUGCGCAAUGGGCGAAAGCCUGACGCAGCGACGCCGCGUGAGGGAUGACGGCCUCGGUGUAACUA
This 401-nucleotide ribosomal RNA is filed under the name uncultured bacterium. RNAcentral's name for it is "bacterial SSU rRNA". It matches the Rfam family "Bacterial small subunit ribosomal RNA", at positions 28 to 428 of the family's 1533-position model. The record is from RNAcentral.